GUUUCGUUGAAGAUCUAGAAUUAAUUAACGUAUUUACCAGUACUUUUCUUCAAUUUUUAGUUUGGUUCGAAUUCAAUUGGAGUAUACAUCUUUAUUAUGCUUUGAUUUUUCUUAUAAUCGAGGGGCCUGUGGUCAAACCGAUUUUGGAGGUCUCUCCAGAUUCUCAUUUUCUCUUUCCUCCAAUUAGGUUAAUCCUGAUGCUAUGGCUCAUAUUUGCUUGAUGGCUGCCCCUCUUCACCGUCGUGCCAAGGUCGUUAUGAUCUCAACCCUUUCGAAGAAGAAGUAGAGGUCAAUCCCUUCAUUUUGGGUUAGACUCUUUGUGCUACGUUUAAGGCUGUUAAUGGAGCAAGGGCAUUCAAAACGACGUCGUGGGAUGAAAUUUCCUCUGAAAUACUACCUGAUGGUAAAAGGGUUUACUUAGAUGAGCAAGAUAUUGUCACAUUUCUUGACCCUCCGAAAGAACUCAUUCCUUUGGACCCUUCUUAUAAUCCUGCUUCAUAUCUCUGGAAGAAAAUUUCGGAAAUCCCGGAUGAAAGACGACAUCGAUUGCUACACCUCCUGGAUCCUAGGUAUUACUUGCCUGAAUUCAUCCUCUAAAAUACCCUUCUGUCGUUGUUAUCAAUACUUGCUGAAUGUUGAGCCUCUCUCUUCCCCUCUGACUUUUCUCUCUCCUCAACCCUCACCAAAUCGCGUCCCUCUAGGGUUGGACUUCCUGCGGUUGCACUUCCUCGCCGUCGUCCCUCGCGCAAUCGCGUCCCAAUCGCCUCCAUCCUCAAUCGCUUCCCACCGUCGACAAUUUCAGUUUUGAAUGAUUUUCUGGAUAUGUUUAGUGUGAAGAUAUUGUUUCCAUUUUCUUAUUGUUCAAAUUCUUAGCGCAGAUCCCUAAAUCCUACAAUUUCUAGGUUAUUGGAUUUUAUAGUUAAUAUUGAUCUUUAGCAAUUUAAUUAGAAAAAUCGCGUGUACUCUUUUUUCUUUACGUUAAUUUUUGUUGUUGUUUGCUGAAAUUCGUGGAAAUAUGAUAUUUUUGAAGUAAUUAAAUUGGAGUAUACAUCCUAAUGUUACCCGGAGUUUGGUUGGCACCUUCAGCUUCUUGGCUCUCGGUUUGCUCUCGGUUUCUUCUAUCCCUUAAGGUGUCUCACAUCGUAUGCUAAUGAUUUGAGCCGCGAGUCCACUGUUGAUAUUGUGGGUGUUGAGAGGUGCCUUUAAUGGGUUCACUAGGAACAGAAAUAACAACCUCAGGUUGAGAUUCAAGUGAGGAAGAUUUACUGUAUUAACAGAGCUGUAUCAACACGUACUGCCGAUUAAUAUUGAGGAUGCGGCCCGGAAGCGAUGUCGAGAUUGAAGAAGCUUUGAAGUUAUGUAAAAUAACAACCAGAUUGUUGAAUAAAAAAUGAUGCGACUGGUCCAAGAACAGCAGGAUGGUUGCCUGGUCGGUCUGUAUACUGUUUAGCAGUUCUCAAAUCUGACAGUGGCGUAGAUGAUAUAAACGUAGUUGGAGAGAACUUCAUGACUGGCUAUCGCAUUGUUUUUGAUCAUGAGAGGAUGGUGUUCGGAUGGAAGGCACACGACUGUAAUUACACUUUUAUUUCAGUAUGGAACUGUUAGAAAGAAGCUCCUUUCAAUCUUUUCAGUAUGGAAGUUCUUCGUAGUUAACUAAGUAUUUUGUGAUGGCAUCAGGUGGUGAAGUUGUACAUGUCAGUCCAAGACCUCCAUUUUAUGGGCCACCCAUGCCUGGGAAUAUCUCCUUUACCAUGAGCUUUAGCACACUUCUUUCUGUUCUGAAUAAAAAAUAUUUGUGUCAAAUUCUCGAUUCCUUGCUCUAUAAUGUCUGUAUUUUGAAUAUGCUUGGAAGAUCUCCUUUUGGAUCAGGCGCACCAUCAAAUUUCAAAGAUGUAUUAGCUUUAAAUUUCAUCUACUAUUAGCUUCAAAGAUGUAUUAUUUUCUAUCA
This is a long non-coding RNA of Spinacia oleracea (spinach), 1948 nucleotides long. RefSeq lists it as uncharacterized. The transcript is spliced from 8 exons. Lineage: Eukaryota; Viridiplantae; Streptophyta; Magnoliopsida; Caryophyllales; Amaranthaceae. The record is from RefSeq and is a predicted model, not a curated record.